CACGUGUUUUCUUUCCCAGGCCACGUUGUGUAAUGCGAUAAUUCUAUCGAUCUAAAAUUAUAUAUCGCGAAUAAUCGUCGGGUAUCGGGUUAAAAUCGCGUGAUAUAAGGCGAAAUUUUCCCAGCUGUUCUACCAUUUCUCGUUUUAAUCUGCAAGAUGUCGAAGACGUGUCUUCUCGUAGUCUUUCUAGGUUUGCUAAUGAUCGUGCCCAUUCACGGAAUUACGGGAGAAGAGGCUUGGCCACCCUGUUAUCGUGAUAAAUGUCGUCAAACCUGCCUAACACGAGGAUACACAAAAGGGUUGUGCGAAGAACACGUCAAAUUUGACGUCUUAUACAAGAGGUGCAACUGUUACAACGAGUGAUGUCAUCUUUUAAAUGUUAUAACGUUUAAAAUAAAGGUUUAACGUUAAAAAAAAAUUGUGUGUCAUCGUGCUUACUUUUAACACUAUUAGAUGGCGUUACAUAUUUCAUAAAUUCAUAACCACGUGUGGUGAUUAUAAAAUUACGCGAUGAAUUUGAUAAAUCGUAAAAAUCGAGUUUUUUUUUUUUUUUUUUAAGAAAGAUAUGCUCACC
Molecule: long non-coding RNA, 574 nt
Filed under: Androctonus crassicauda
Lineage: Eukaryota; Metazoa; Arthropoda; Arachnida; Scorpiones; Buthidae
Source: RNAcentral